This 186-nucleotide ribosomal RNA is filed under the name Nitrosomonas sp. RNAcentral describes it as "partial 16S ribosomal RNA". It matches the Rfam family "Bacterial small subunit ribosomal RNA", at positions 108 to 299 of the family's 1533-position model. The record is from RNAcentral. Lineage: Bacteria; Pseudomonadati; Pseudomonadota; Betaproteobacteria; Nitrosomonadales; Nitrosomonadaceae.
GAGUAAUACAUCGGAACGUGUCUUGAAGUGGGGGAUAACGCAUCGAAAGAUGUGCUAAUACCGCAUAUACUCUGAGGAGUAAAGUAGGGGAUCGAAAGACUCUAUGUUUUGGAGCGGCCGAUGUCUGAUUAGCUAGUUGGUGGGGUAACUGCCUACCAAGGCGACAUCAGUAGUUGGUGUGGAGGA